CAUAUAGAAACACAACUGAUUUUUGUAUGUUGAUUUUGUAUCUGUAACUUCACUGAGUUCAUUCUUAAGAGCAGGAGUAGAACCUGGAAUUCCAGUAGUGACAAGGAAGGAAAUGGUAACCCUGGAGCUGGAUGCAGGCUUGCAAGGAAUGUCAGGCCUGACUUAACCUCACACAAGAGGGAAAGAAACACCUAUGGAGGAGGCCCCUAUGAAAUAACUGACCUGCAUUUUAUCAAAAGUAUAAAGCUCAAAAAACAUUACUCAGAAGAGAAUGGCUUUUUCCCAGCAUGAAUGAAUAAAAAAAAUGCUAAAACAAAAUUGUUUUGCCCAUUGAGUUCCAUAACCAUUUGGCCCAAGGAUGGAAGGGCUUCCCUCAUCUUCAUGAUUAGGUUAGCUACUAUGUAUUUAUCCUGAGUAUGAACACAGUGAUUAGAGUGAUUAGGGUGUUUAGAGUUUGUGCUGGGGUGGACAGAGAGGGAAGGAAGCCAUAUAGAUCCUCAACCAGGUGUUCAGGUCUUUAUAUGAUUGAGCCAGAGCCCUUUUUGUUCUUCUUGUUAGCCCAGAGCCUUGAUGCAUUUAGUGGCAUGAACACAAUCUCUUACUGGGAAUGUAGGGAACUUAGUAUGUUUCUUUCUCUUGAGAUUUCCCAAGUUCAAGGUGUAGCAAAGAGAUUCCCUGGUCUUUUGAAAAAGCAAAGCUCAAGGCUGCUCAGCUGAGCAUUGGCAAUUCUAGACCUCCCUUGGAACAGAUGCUAUCAGUUAGGAAUAGAUUUCUAAGUAUUUCAUGAUGCUCAAACAUAGCUGAACUAUUUACCUUUUCAUGGCUGGUCUAUUCUUAUGCUUUGAGAGUAGCUUCCAUAGUGCAGCAAGAAUACAUCAGCAUAGCACCUUCCCCAAAGACACAGGAAAAGAUUAUUGAGUUAGGCAUCCCUGGGGCUUUGAGUAGGCAGAUCAGUUAUGGGAGCUUGCUCUGGGAUUUCUGAAAUGCAACCAUUCCAGAUAGUGUAUCUUAUAUGCUUUACCUUUCUUGCUGGAGGGCAAGGCACAUAUGAGCAUAGGCUAUGGAACAAAUUCUGGGGCCACCAUUACCACUUUGUGAUCUUAUGCAAGUCACUUCAUUUCCCUCAGUCUCAGUUUCCUCAUUUCUCAGACAGGGACCACUGUAUUUAAAUGUGAUGGUGGGUGACAAGGUGUGUGCGUCUAUAUCACUGUAUGCCUGACAUACAGUAGAUACUCAAGAAAUGUCAGUUUUCCUUUCUCAUGCCCAUGUAUGUACCACCCCAGCAGAAAGUGGGUUAAAAGCAUGGAAAGAGCAUUUAAUAUUUUAUCUGUUAGCAGUCAUUUACUUUCUCCUUCCUAGAGCAUUACAGCUCUUUCCAAAGAGGUAAAAGAGGCCCUGAGAAGAUUAAAUCAGCAUGUAAAUUUCAGCUUAAUUCAAGCUAAGCCCCUUAAACUUUUGUUUGCAGAGAAGCUCCAGCCUAUAGCAGGGUCUGGAGCACAGGCGCUCUGAGCAAGCACACUGGCACAGUCCCUGGGGCUGUCUGCCCUAGUGGGCUGGUUUUCAAACUAGUCCACUUCAGAUUCAUCUGGAGGGAUUGUUAAAAAACCUUUCUAGAGGGAUCUACAAAUUUGCAUUUCUUGUAAAUUUCCAGAUGAUCCCAGGCUUCUGGGUAGGGGAGAACCACUGCUCAGUGGGAGCAGGCAGCUGCGACUCCUGGGUUCUAGGCCUAACCUGGCUUUAAGGAUCUGGGUAACUUUAGGAGACACAGCUGCUCUUUUGUCCAUCAAUGGGCCAGAAGUAUGAUUUGGAAAAAUAAGUUAGAGCAGAGCUCCCUAAUCGUUUUUCUAUAGUGGGUGGCCACCCAGGCCUUAUUAGACUGAUGGAGGACUGACAGGAAUCAAUGUCUUGGCACAUCUGUAACUCACUAGGAAUGUUUGGUGCACAGGUGGGGAAAAUCUGAGUGGCUAAAAGGACACGCUUUCAAGUCCUGGAAACCUUUGAGUAAAUCCUCACUCUGCCUAUCUGGGUGGGCUUCUAGCUGUUCACCUCGGUCAUCUGUGAAAUGGAAACAGUGCUUGUACCUAUAUCCUAAGGUUAUGGUGAACAUCAAUGAGUAAAUGCAUGUAGAGUGUUUGGCAUGCACAUUGUUAUGUCCAUUUCUAGAAUUCUGUGAUUCGCUCUUGUGCCUAUCCUGUACCUAACUGGAAGAAGAUGAUAAAUCUCUUCAGUGUUUGGAAAUAUAAGAGCUUGUUUUUGGAGAGUGCUCUAAGAGAGUGCAUCUCAAUCUUUAAUGUAUUCAAAUCACCUGGGGAUCUUGUUAAAAUGCAGAUUCUGAUUCUGUAGGUCUGGAAUGGUGCCUGAGAUUCUGCCUUUCUGUGCAGUUCUCAGGUAAUAAUAGCCCCACACCUAAUCCACAGAGCUCCCACUGUUCGACCAGCAAGGCUCUGCAGCAGUGGCUCUUGAAUUUGGUUGCACAAUGGAGUCAUUUGGGGGAAUCUUUUAAUAACCUCAGGCUCUACUCUGAUGCUUGUGAUCAUAAUCCAGAGAUUAUAAUUACAUUAGUUCACAGUGGCAGCUCCCCAAGUGAUUCCAAUGUGUAUACAGUUUGAGUACCACUGCGCUACAGUACUGGUUCUCAAAGUUGGCUGCAUAUUGGAGUUUUAAAAACUAAUGAUGCUUGUGUCUCACCUCCAGAGAUUCUGAUUGGUCCAGGGUGAGGCCUAAGCAACAGGGGUUUUUAUAAGUUCCUUGGCAGCACUUAGGAGAACCACUCUCUAAAGUCUAAAGCACUCUUUAGAGUAAGGCACCAGGAGAAGUUGAAUUGAUUCGUGUUCCCAGAGCUGGAAGUAAUUAAUUUCCCUUCAGCUAGACCCCCUUUUCCCUAGGAGAUUUGCACUGAAAUAUGGCCAGAAUAAGAACUUUGUAAACCUUUAUUUUAAAGGCAAAAACAUGUUUCACAUCUGCCUUCAGGAAACUGUAUUGUCCAGUAGCUCAGAAAUAGGCCCAAGAGAAAGAGCAUUCAGCCCCUAAUCCCCUACACCACCACCUUCAGUGUGACCUUGACAAAUCUUUUCAUGUUUAUAUUUCUGUAUUUUCUCAUUUGCAAAACUAGGCUCAUCCUACAAAGUGCCCACAGGACUCGUGUAUGGUCAGAUGCAGCUUCAAAAACACUCAUGCUUCACGUCUCCCAAAUUAUUCCGAUUUGCUGACUAAAUUUCGACAUUUGUACAAAAUACGUACUUUUUGAGUCUUGAAAACUGCACACAUUUAAACUAUCUCUUUCCCUCUUUUAAUGGUACCAAUUGCUUUCUCUUUUAUUCACACAAUUUAGGCUUAACAUACUCCAGAGAUGCAGAGAAAUCAGUAAGAGGGUGGAAAUGAUUUUUUAAAAGCUGUGGCAAGAAGCCUGGCCUUGGGGAUGGAGGUGGUAUUCUAGAGCAGUGGUGCUUAAACCACCAGGAUCACUAAGGAGCUAGCAGAGCCACUGAGACUCAGGCCAUUGAAGCAGUGUAGGGCCUAGACCUUAUGUUUCUGCAAGUUCCCCUGGUGUUUCUGGGUACCCACCAACACUUGAGAACCACAAUCCUGGAGUUGCAGCUUUCCCUUGAUGUAUUUUAGUUAAUCUCUUUCCAAACACCUUCCUAAAGUCACCCAAAGCUGGAAAGGUUUCUUUCUGGUCUGCAAAACACAAGUCACCUGUUAAUUUUCAAGCCACUCAUAAUAUAGGUGGAGGUGUUUUUAUAAAAUCAGAAAAAGACAAUCCUCACAGAGCUGUAGAGUGGGAAUAAAAAGGUUCAGAGUCCUGAUGGUCUCAUCUCAUCCUCCCUUACACCCUAGGAAGAGGGCUGGGGAGGGCGGCAUUGCUGAAUGGCCAGGGCAAGGUGGGGACUGCAUCCUCCUGACUUUCAAGGGGUGGAAACAUCAGUUUCCUACCUGGCCCCCUGUCCCCUGCCAGGGGCUCCAGGAACAGUGUUGUGACCCUCUCACCAUUGGCACAGCUGGAUGGGAGCCCCUGGAAACUCUGGAUACUGACGGAGUGCAGGAGGAACCAGUUACCCUGAGCUGUAAAGCCGUGUGGGGGUGGGAGCAGGGCUGGAGAGAGGAGGAAUGAUGAAGGCUGUCAGCCCACCUUCCAGGAUGAUGGCCCACAUCUUUGUUUCACUAGCACUUGGCACAUUGCCUAGAACGUAGUAGGUGCUUAAGCAAUGCUUGUUGAACAAAGUGGCAAAAAGAUGUAAAAUCAGGUAGCACAGUAGAGCCCAAAGAUGCCAGAAAACAGGAGAAAAGUAGGUGUUGAGAGGGUUGAAAAACCCAAGAAAGGAGAUGCAGGGAGUUGGGAGGGAGGUGUGUGUGGAGUGGGGAGGAUGCGUGGGCCCCUGAAAUGGGGAGAGAAGGUGAAAAAUGACAGGAGAGGAAGAGAUGAGGGAGUGAGGAAGGGCAGAAGAUGAGGACAGAGCAACUGUUUCAUGGGGAGUGACUCAGGCCGGAGACAGGCAGAACUGGAGGGAGAAGCCAAACAGUGCAAGCGAAGUGGGUCACUGUCAGGAAUCAUCACGUUUUCUGGAACUGGAUGUUUUCAAAUUGCAUAAUCCCCCUUGUUCUCAGUUAUCCUGCACAAGAAAGUGGAGUUCCUCCCACAUUACAAAUCCAUCUCAGUUAAGCCCCAGACGUCCACUUAAUACCACAGACAACUCCUUGGCAGCCUUCCCUGCCUCCCUUUCCCGCCCGCCACAUCCUGCCCUUCCCCCGCAGAGGCACAACUGGCUCUCCAGGCAUUUCCCUUCCCGACUUCCAGCGUGACACGAGGGCUCCAGGGGCGCCUUCCUGUCCCCACAGACCCUUGCUGUUCCAGAGCCGCUGCCAGCCUAUCCACAGCCUUUGUGCAAAUUGGAACAAGGGGCCCAUCUAGAUCCUGGGCAGAUGAGUUAGAGAAAGGCACAGGUGAGUGAAAACAAGACACGCAGUCAGAAACUCAAAGCAGCAGCUGUGUGUGUGUGCUGGGGUGGGGAAUGUAGACGCGUGUUCAGGGAAAGUUUCUAGUAGAAAGUGGUAGCUGAACUGACUUUCCAAAGAUGAGCAAGUGUUUUCUCUGUUCCAGGUUUUUUUUUUUUCUUUUUUGGGGGGAGGCAGAGAUGUGGAACAGUAUGGCAGUCGAUAUUUCUGGAGUGUUUUUGUAUGAGGGCAUUGAGAAGGGAUCAAGUGGUAGGGUUGAGGUAAGAGUAGGUAGGAAGGACCAGUUUUUAAGCCAGGGCCAAGACAGUGAGACUUGCCUUUGAGAAGGAUUGCUUUGGAAAGCUAAGGCUCAAAGAGGCAGUUGUAGAGGAGGGUCCUGUGUCAGACAAUGAGGGGACCAAUCUGUUUUGUCAUGCUAAUCCUGGGUCUCUCCACCCACACCUGCAUGGCCUCCAUGAGAUUUCCCUUGCAGUGCUUGCUGGGCCCAUUUCACCACCCUCAAAAGCCAAAAAAGGGCUUAGAUUUAUAGUAGCAUAGUUAUUGCCCUUGGUCCCCUAACACAGUGAUUUAAAAAUUUGUUUUCCCUAUUUUUUAACAGAAUUUUAUUCAUCCCAGGUUAGUUUUUAGAAAGCUAAACCAAAAUGCUUCCCUGGGCAUUUAUUGAUUUCCUGAAGACAUUUAUAGCACGUGUCAGCUGAAUGGGGAAGGAAAGGAAGAGAUCUUGCAGACCUUUGCAGGAAGAUGGCACCUACAGUCAAUUCUCAGUCGCCCCCUGGAGUGGGGACUUGUGAGGUUACUACUAGAGAGAUGGCCUCAAGGAGAAGAGAUGGAGAGAGAAAUGUUUCAUCUCAACUAUGGACUGAUCUAAUCAUGGCUGGCUGAGCCAUCUACGAAACACCACCUUAAUGGCUGUGCCCAGGGGACGCCAUGUUUGAUUUCAGCAGCAACAAACACUCGAGUUAACAGGUGGAACACAUCUUAGGUCUGAGACAUGAAACUGAGAGGAACCCAAAGCCUCUUAAUCGUUUGGAGUUUUACAAGAGAGGCACUUGAGGGGUGUGUUUACGCCUUGUUUAGACAGGGCUUCAUCUUGGCAGCAUUGGGGCCUUGGGUUGAGAACUUGGUAAAAAGUCCAGCCAAGGCUGGCUCAUAAACGAGACACCCAACAUCUAUCUUCAGAGAAGCCAAUAAAUUAUCACUGCUGAUAA
Molecule: non-coding RNA, 6161 nt
Organism: Microcebus murinus (gray mouse lemur)
Lineage: Eukaryota; Metazoa; Chordata; Mammalia; Primates; Cheirogaleidae
Source: RefSeq, a predicted model, not a curated record